GAUGAAGAACGUAGCGAAAUGCGAUAAGUAAUGUGAAUUGCAGAAUUUAGUGAAUCAUCGAAUCUUUGAACGCACAUUGCGCCCGCCAGUAUUCUGGCGGGCAUGCCUGUUCGAGCGUCAUUUCAACCAUCAAGCCCCCGGGCUUGUGUUGGGGACCUGCGGCUGCCGCAGGCCCUGAAAAGCAGUGGCGGGCUCGCUGUCACACCGAGCGUAGUAGAUUUUAUCUCGCUCUGGGCGUGCUGCGGGUUCCGGCCGUUAAACCACCCUUUUAACCCAAGGUUGACCUCGGAUCAGGUAGGAAGACCCGCUGAACUUAAGCAUAUCAAUGAGGA
Molecule: unclassified non-coding RNA, 332 nt
Filed under: soil metagenome
Description: partial contains 5.8S ribosomal RNA, internal transcribed spacer 2, and large subunit ribosomal RNA
Rfam family: 5.8S ribosomal RNA (bases 1-120)
Source: RNAcentral